Molecule: small RNA, 327 nt
Filed under: Pan troglodytes (chimpanzee)
Lineage: Eukaryota; Metazoa; Chordata; Mammalia; Primates; Hominidae
Also listed under: 1 other name
Description: processed transcript
Source: RNAcentral
GACCGCAGCUGAAUGCACAGCUAGAAGGUUGGCUUUCACAAGUACAGUCUACAAAAAGACCUGCUAGAGCCAUUAUUGCCCCCCAUAAGGAUGAGUUUACCAUUAUUCCUGUACUGGUUGGAGCUCUGAGUGAGUCAAAAGAACAGGAAUUCGGAAAACUCUUCAGUAAAUAUCUAGCGGAUCCUAGUAAUCUCUUUGUGGUUUCUUCUGAUUUCUGCCAUUGGGGGUAUGAGUAUUAUAGAACAAUUAGACCCUGUAUCUUUUAGCAAUUACUUGAAGAAAUACCAUAAUACUAUAUGUGGAAGACAUCCCAUUGGGGUGUUAUUA